Molecule: ribosomal RNA, 253 nt
Filed under: uncultured bacterium
Lineage: Bacteria
Description: partial 16S ribosomal RNA
Rfam family: Bacterial small subunit ribosomal RNA
Source: RNAcentral
UACGGAGGGUGCAAGCGUUAUCCGGAUUCACUGGGUUUAAAGGGUGCGUAGGAGGGCAGGUACGUCAGUGGUGAAAUCUCCGAGCUUAACUUGGAAACUGCCGUUGAUACUAUCUGCCUUGAAUAUUGUGGAGGUGAGCGGAAUAUGUCAUGUAGCGGUGAAAUGCUUAGAUAUGACAUAGAACACCAAUUGCGAAGGCAGCUCGCUACACAUAUAUUGACUCUGAGGCACGAAAGCGUGGGGAUCAAACAGG